This 1371-nucleotide ribosomal RNA is filed under the name uncultured bacterium. RNAcentral describes it as "bacterial SSU rRNA". It matches the Rfam family "Bacterial small subunit ribosomal RNA", at positions 27 to 1388 of the family's 1533-position model. The record is from RNAcentral.
GAUUGAACGCUGGCGGUAUGCUUAACACAUGCAAGUCGAACGGAAACGAUACUAGCUUGCUAGUAGGCGUCGAGUGGCGGACGGGUGAGUAACGCGUAGGAAUCUGCCUGAUAGUGGGGGAUAGCCCGAAGAAAUUCGGAUUAAUACCGCAUAAUCUAUUCGUAGUAAAGUGGGGGACUUUCGAGCCUCACGCUAUCAGAUGAGCCUGCGUAAGAUUAGCUUGUUGGUAGGGUAAAAGCCUACCAAGGCGACGAUCUUUAGCUGGUCUGAGAGGAUGAUCAGCCACAUCGGGACUGAGACACGGCCCGAACUCCUACGGGAGGCAGCAGUGGGGAAUAUUGGACAAUGGGGGCAACCCUGAUCCAGCAAUACCGCGUGUGUGAAGAAGGCCUGAGGGUUGUAAAGCACUUUCAAUUGUGAAGAAAAGUUAGCGGUUAAUAACCGUUAGCCUUGACGUUAACUUUAGAAGAAGCACCGGCUAACUCCGUGCCAGCAGCCGCGGUAAUACGGAGGGUGCAAGCGUUAAUCGGAAUUACUGGGCGUAAAGCGUGCGUAGGCGGUUUAUUAAGUCAGAUGUGAAAGCCCCGGGCUUAACCUGGGAACUGCAUUUGAAACUGGUCAACUAGAGUAUGGUAGAGGAAAGUGGAAUUUCUGGUGUAGCGGUGAAAUGCGUAGAUAUCAGAAGGGAACAUCAAUGGCGAAGGCAGCUUUCUGGACCAAUACUGACGCUGAGGUACGAAAGCGUGGGUAGCAAACAGGAUUAGAUACCCUGGUAGUCCACGCCGUAAACGAUGAUAACUAGCCGUUGGGGGGAUUUACCCUUUAGUGGCGAAGCUAACGCGUUAAGUUAUCCGCCUGGGGAGUACGGCCGCAAGGUUAAAACUCAAAGGAAUUGACGGGGACCCGCACAAGCGGUGGAGCAUGUGGUUUAAUUCGAUGCAACGCGAAGAACCUUACCUGGUCUUGACAUCCUGCGAACUUUCUAGAAAUAGAUUGGUGCCUUCGGGAACGCAGUGACAGGUGCUGCAUGGCUGUCGUCAGCUCGUGUCGUGAGAUGUUGGGUUAAGUCCCGUAACGAGCGCAACCCCUAUCCUUAUUUGCCAGCACAUCAUGGUGGGAACUAUAAGGAGACUGCCGGUGAUAAACCGGAGGAAGGCGGGGACGACGUCAAGUCAUCAUGGCCCUUACGACCAGGGCUACACACGUGCUACAAUGGGAAGGACAAAGAGCCGCGAAGCCGCGAGGUGUAGCUAAUCUCAUAAACCUUUUCGUAGUCCGGAUUGGAGUCUGCAACUCGACUCCAUGAAGUCGGAAUCGCUAGUAAUCGUAGAUCAGAAUGCUACGGUGAAUACGUUCCCGGGUCUUGUACAC